Molecule: small nucleolar RNA, 87 nt
Filed under: Salix viminalis (osier)
Lineage: Eukaryota; Viridiplantae; Streptophyta; Magnoliopsida; Malpighiales; Salicaceae
Also listed under: 2 other names
Description: small nucleolar RNA snoR116
Rfam family: small nucleolar RNA snoR116
Source: Rfam by way of RNAcentral
AGGCUGUGAUGAAUAAAAUUAUAUACCAUCAAACUAUGAGAGCUCAAAACUUGAGCUCGUUGAUGCCAUCUCAUAUUCCCUGAGCCC